UACGUAGGUGGCAAGCGAUACUCGGAAUCACUAGGCGUAAAGCGCAGGUAGGCGGUUUGGUAAGUCUUUUGUGAAAGCUCCCGGCUCAACUGGGAGAGGUCAAGGGAAACUACCGGACUAGAGUGUGGUAGGGGAUACUGGAAUUCCUGGUGUAGCGGUGAAAUGCGUAGAUAUCAGGAGGAAUACCUAUGGCGAAAGCAGGUAUCUGGGCCAUCACUGACGCUGAGCUGCGAAAGCUAGGGGAGCAAACAGG
Molecule: ribosomal RNA, 253 nt
Filed under: uncultured bacterium
Lineage: Bacteria
Description: partial 16S ribosomal RNA
Rfam family: Bacterial small subunit ribosomal RNA
Source: RNAcentral